Molecule: ribosomal RNA, 387 nt
Filed under: uncultured bacterium
Lineage: Bacteria
Description: bacterial SSU rRNA
Rfam family: Bacterial small subunit ribosomal RNA
Source: RNAcentral
AACGAACGCUGGCGGCAUGCCUAACACAUGCAAGUCGAACGGCAGCGCGGGGCAACCUGGCGGCGAGUGGCGAACGGGUGAGUAAUAUAUCGGAACAUACCCUAGAGUGGGGGAUAACGUAGCGAAAGUUACGCUAAUACCGCAUACGCACUAAGGUGGAAAGUGGGGGAUUCGCAAGAACCUCAUGCUCAUGGAGUGGCCGAUAUCUGAUUAGCUAGUUGGUGAGGUAAAGGCUCACCAAGGCGACGAUCAGUAGCUGGUUUGAGAGAACGACCAGCCACACUGGAACUGAGACACGGUCCAGACUCCUACGGGAGGCAGCAGUGGGGAAUUUUGGACAAUGGGGGCAACCCUGAUCCAGCAAUGCCGCGUGAGUGAAGAAGGCCU